Molecule: long non-coding RNA, 919 nt
Organism: Armigeres subalbatus
Lineage: Eukaryota; Metazoa; Arthropoda; Insecta; Diptera; Culicidae
Exons: 3
Source: RefSeq, a predicted model, not a curated record
GUGCGGUUGAUAUGAUACAUGUGAAUUAAGGAGUAAUGUCACAAUCCAUGUUAUCAUCAAUUUUUAAUUUGACUACAUAAUUUUAUUGAAUUUAUAUUAUAAACAAUUAUAUAUUCAAGUUCCCACAUGUAAUUAAUAUACAACAUAUCGUCUCUGUACAAUAUUUAUUACUUCAUAAUAGGUUCUACUUGAUCAAAAAACGUUAGUUAACUGAAACAAAACUAUAAUGGGGAUAAACACGAUAUGGUCUACCGUUUUUACAUAAUUGUGUAUCGUUUACGGCAAUCAUAAAUACAUCGCGAUAUCACACGCACAUCUCAAUAUUAUACGGUUUCAAGAUAAAGGUAAGAUAUUUCUUUCAGUUCAGUGACAAAUGUGAGUGUGGAAAAAAAUGCUGCUUUUCGCCAUUUGAACGGCAGGCAUGUAGAAUAGGACACAAGUUUUAAUUUAUCGGAGAGGAAGAUUCGUGUUUUAAAUUGUUUAGGAAAAAAGGAUCCAGUUAGCAGAACCCUAAAAAUGGUUUUCUUCAUUUUCCAAAUGUCAGCAAUCACGCGGUCAUACACUGUGUACAGACAUCAUCGAAUUUCGGGAAAAUGGGCAACAGCCUGCUCAAGUGAUUAGAUGAAUGAUAACGAUGUGUGGAGUGCGAAGUAUGAGCCGAAAUUAUCCACUUGAAUUGAAAAAAAAAACUAAAAUGAUUGAAUAAAAACAGUACUAAAAAUGAAAAAAAUUGUAUUUAUUUUCGUUCUCCCUCUGCUUUGCCCACCACACCUAGAAAAAAAUCAAAACAUCAAUGGUAACAGUACAAUGGAUUUAAAAUAUAUGGUCACAUUAUAUGCGUAUGGUAUCCCGUAUAGUUUUUCUCGUGGAACAUAGAUUAUUUAACAACCGCAUGACAUGCUGUACGCCGAAAAAAAUG